GAUGAACGCUGGCGGCGUGCUUAACACAUGCAAGUCGAACGAAGCACUUUGGACAGAUUCUUCGGAUGAAGUCCUUAGUGACUGAGUGGCGGACGGGUGAGUAACGCGUGGGUAACCUGCCUCAUACAGGGGGAUAACAGUUAGAAAUGGCUGCUAAUACCGCAUAAGCGCACAGCAUCGCAUGAUGCAGUGUGAAAAACUCCGGUGGUAUGAGAUGGACCCGCGUUGGAUUAGCUAGUUGGCAGGGUGACGGCCUACCAAGGCGACGAUCCAUAGCCGGCCUGAGAGGGUGGACGGCCACAUUGGGACUGAGACACGGCCCAGACUCCUACGGGAGGCAGCAGUGGGGAAUAUUGCACAAUGGGGGAAACCCUGAUGCAGCGACGCCGCGUGAGCGAAGAAGUAUUUCGGUAUGUAAAGCUCUAUCAGCAGGGAAGAAAAUGACGGUACCUGACUAAGAAGCCCCGGCUAACUACGUGCCAGCCGCCGCCGUAA
RNAcentral lists this ribosomal RNA (495 nucleotides) under uncultured bacterium. RNAcentral's name for it is "partial 16S ribosomal RNA". It matches the Rfam family "Bacterial small subunit ribosomal RNA", at positions 28 to 523 of the family's 1533-position model. The record is from RNAcentral.